This is a long non-coding RNA of Nomia melanderi (Alkali bee), 808 nucleotides long. RefSeq lists it as uncharacterized. Lineage: Eukaryota; Metazoa; Arthropoda; Insecta; Hymenoptera; Halictidae. The record is from RefSeq and is a predicted model, not a curated record.
GAACAGUGUUCAAGGUGGUUACUGAUAGAAUGAGUAUUAGACAACGUGUUUGGUAUGUAAAUGUUUUGAAAAGUGAAAAUGAUGAAGUCAUACGGAAAGUGAUGUGUUUUUGGAAACAUGUAAGACACUCGACGUCCUUACACGGCCAUCGAGUUCUUUCCUUGACCUGCUGUCCAUCGGAGUGCACGAUCUUAUGGGACACAGUCGAUUUUCUAGGAUUGUCACCUUCACACAAACAUUCGAUAGUGUUCAAUGAUUUGUAUACUUUCCAGAAACGAGCUCGGAAGUUCCGUUGCACGACGAUAAAAACAUUCUUCCCGUUUAAUUGAAGAGCACGCCACGCUUUCUCCGCCACAUGAACAGCCAUGUUGGUUUACCGGUCACGUGACGGAGACCAGUGUAAACAAAACAGAUCGAAACUAUUAACUUGCCGCCGUUGCGUCAUGUGAUCGUAAAGUCAAUGUGGCAGCGCGCGCAGAUGGAAAGGUAUUUUGUGUUCUGUAAUCAAGUGAAAGAGGCGCGUUAAAUGUUGCGUAACAGAAGUUUUGAACUCGUUUCGACAAAUUACAUAAGGAAUUUGAGGUAAUUAGAUGUACGCGUGAACCGGACAGUCCUAGAAAAUCGUGUCUGUGUGUGUUGUGACGAAGAUCAUCAACAUUGCCUGAACGUCACUCCAGGAGUUCAAAAGAACAAAGCUGCGAAGCUGUUCAGGAACUCGAAUACUCCAAGACUCAGCUGCCAGGCGAAGCCAGCAAACGCCUCGUCCGCAACAGAGCACCAUGGACAGAAGCAGUUAUGCGCGCGAGGA